GCCUGUGUGAUUCAGUUGGUUAAGUGUCUGACUUUGGCUCAGAUCAUGAUCUCAGGGUCCUGGGAUCAAGCCCUGCAUAGGCU
RNAcentral lists this transfer RNA (83 nucleotides) under Vulpes vulpes (red fox). It matches the Rfam family "tRNA". From Rfam's summary of the family: Transfer RNA (tRNA) molecules are approximately 80 nucleotides in length. Their secondary structure includes four short double-helical elements and three loops (D, anti-codon, and T loops). Lineage: Eukaryota; Metazoa; Chordata; Mammalia; Carnivora; Canidae. The record is from Rfam by way of RNAcentral. RNAcentral also lists the same sequence under 1 other name.